RNAcentral lists this transfer RNA (67 nucleotides) under Marmota monax (woodchuck). RNAcentral describes it as "tRNA.Ala". The stretch from base 6 to 62 matches the Rfam family "tRNA", at positions 8 to 63 of the family's 71-position model. From Rfam's summary of the family: Transfer RNA (tRNA) molecules are approximately 80 nucleotides in length. The record is from RNAcentral. Lineage: Eukaryota; Metazoa; Chordata; Mammalia; Rodentia; Sciuridae.
GGUCAUGGCUCAGUGGUAGAGCGCUCGCCUAGCACGUGUGAGGCCCUGGGUUCGAUCCCCAGAAUCA